AGAGAGAUUCCGUCACCACCAAAAGAGUUAAACACAGGGACACAUUUGAAGUCUCGGAGCCGGGUGUUGGUUCCGGUAGCGAUCGAGGGAAAUUAGUACCGAAGUCCGGGAUGGAAGAUGGCGAGAAAAGCUGUGUGUAUUUCUGCGGUGCCCGUACCGCAAACCGACACAGGUAGGUAGGAAGAAGAUUCUAAGGCCAACGGGAGAAGGGUUGUUAAGGAACUCGGCAAAUUGACCCCGUAACUUCGGGAGAAGGGGUGCUCUAGAGAUAGAGCCGCAGAGAAUCGGCCCAAGCAACUGUUUACCAAAAACACAGGUUUGUGCUAAAUCGAAAGAUGACGUAUACGAGCUGACGCCUGCCCGGUGCUGGAAGGUUAAGAGGAGAUGUGCAAGCAUUGAAUCGAAGCCCCAGUGAACGGCGGCCGUAACGAUAACGGUCCUAAGGUAGCGAAAUUCCUUGUCAGGUAAGUUCUGACCCGCAUGAAAGGCGUAAUGAUUUGGGCACUGUCUCGACAGCCCGCCCGGCGAAAUUGUAGUACCGGUGAAGAUGCCGGUUACCCGCGACAAGACGGAAAGACCCCAUGGAGCUUUACUGUAGCCUAAUAUUGGGUUUCGAUGUUGCAUGCACAGGAUAGAUGGGAUACUGGGAAGCAAGUGCUUUGGCAUUUGUGGAGUGGCCGUUGGGAUACCAUCCUUGCGAUAUUGGAAUUCUAACCUGCGCCUUUGAAUCAAGGCGGGGGACAUUGUUAGGUGGGCAGUUUGACUGGGGCGGUCGCCUCCUAAAGAGUAACGGAGGCGUUCAAAGGUUCGCUCAGCUUGAACGGAAAUCAAGCAAAAGAGUGCAAACGCAGAAGCGAGCCUAACUGCGAGACUGACGGGUCGAGCAGUAACGAAAGUUGGAGUUAGUGAUCCGGUGGUAUGUGAGUGGAAAUGCCAUCGCUCAACGGAUAAAAGUUACCCUGGGGAUAACAGGCUGAUCUCCCCCAAGAGUCCACAUCGACGGGAGGUUUGGCACCCCGAUGUCGGCUCAUCGCAUCCUGGGGCUGUAUUCGGUCCCAAGGGUUUGGCUGUUCGCCAAUUAAAGCGGUACGCGAGCUGGGUUCAGAACGUCGUGAGACAGUUCGGUCCCUAUCUGUCGUGGGCGCAGGAUAUUUGAUGGGAGCUGUUCCUAGUACGAGAGGACCGGAGCGGACGUACCUCUGGCGCACCAGUUGUUCUGCCAAGGGCAUAGCUGGGCAACUAUGUACGGAUCGGAUAAACGCUGAAAGCAUCUAAGCGUGAAGCCGACCCAAAGAUAAGAUAUCCCAUUGUUUCAAACAAGUAAGACCCCUUGAAGACUACAAGGUUGAUAGGCAUGAUGUGUAAGUGGAGUGAUCCAUUCAGCAAGCGUGUACUAAUAGGUCGAGGGCUUGACCG
RNAcentral lists this ribosomal RNA (1416 nucleotides) under metagenome. RNAcentral's name for it is "bacterial LSU rRNA". It matches the Rfam family "Bacterial large subunit ribosomal RNA", at positions 1429 to 2925 of the family's 2925-position model. The record is from RNAcentral.